CGGUGGGGCGAAAACGAAUAAGAUACACAUGUCAAAUUAGUUUGAGUUGAUAGGCACCAUAAGCAAAACCAGUAUCCGCAUACAUGUGAGUGUUCACUUUGUGCAAGGUGUGGGCUAACAUGCAGAUCGGAACCCUCAACUUUCUGAAUUACAUUCAGAGAGUGAACAUACAUGUAGACUGGAGUCUUUACCUGAUACGGAUCUAACUCGAGUCCCGGCAUUAGAAGAAAAUUACUAUGCCUAUGAAAUAUCUAAUUCUACCAUUUCUUCCGGAUCAUCAGCUCCUAAAUGGCCAAGUGCAUCAGCUUGAUAUUUCCUUGUUCACAAAUUACUUCAUAAAAAAUGCACAUACAUAAGAAUUUGAUCUUUGAAUUGUCUCUGUAAGGUAUCACUGCUUCUUAAUGAAGAUAGCCAGCAAGAUAAUGGGGGGAAUAAACAGAUCAUUUCAAAAGGAGAAGCAACCUACCAAGGGCUAACAAUGCAACACUCUGAAUGAGCAAAUUCAUGUUAAAACUUAAAUCCUACUACAUUACAAUCUACCUGGACCAAGAAUACAAAUUAGUCUAGCUAAAGUCUUUUUAAACCUUAUUAAUGUUUCCCCUGAUUGAGCGUACUCCUUGUGAAAAAAACUGCAUAAGAAAUUAUUCACUGGAAAUAUUAGUUUUAGUACUGUAUAUUAUGUACAGAUGGACAUCUACACACAAACAGGACAUGAGUAAAUCCUAACUACACCACCAGUGGUGCAUAUUAAUAAACUGGAUAUCAAGAAAGCUAAAAGGAUUAUCAAGAACACCGUAUAACAAUCAGAGGAAUUCCAAAUUAAGCUAUUACUUAUUUAAGAAGGGACUAAGCUGGAAAGAGGAAAGAAAAUACAGCAAUGAAAAUUCAAGCUUAUCUUCAACACUGAUGAAAAAAAAAUACAACUAGACUAUCUUGCAUACUGUCAAGCUAACAGUAUAUGAGUUCGCACAAUCCUCACCUCUAACAUUGAAGGAAGGUGAAGCAUGAUGUAUGAGGGCUCAUCAAAGUAGGAUUCAUCCUCUUCAUGUCUACUCAGCAGUGACCUUGGCUUGGAAUACUUCCUCAUUGAUAAAAUUGUUGAUGCCCAUAAGCUCUAAUGUGGUUUCCAAAAAGAAAUACCCGCUCCAGACACUACUGUCAGCAAUGAACCAUGCGUUUAGUCGAUGCGAGAGUAAAUCCCUAAAAUGUCGAGCAUUGUUGGUCCAAAGGUUAUAUCACCGAUAAUCAGGCACACUUGAAGAGAAGCCCACUUAAUAUUUAGAGGGAUAAUAUGAACAGAAAUCAAACAAAGCAUUGUAUUUGUUCCCUGAUCAUGAUGCUUCAUAAAGCAUUGGGAACCCAACCAAACAUGUGCCUGCUCUUGAAACCAAGAAUGCACAAAAGAUAUUCGGAAUUAAGCACCUUUUUUUCUAUAACAUGGCAUAUAGUGCUAAAGAACGUUGAUUUGCAUUUGGUUAAGUAUGAAAUACAACACAAUUUUCGCAUCGGUUCAAGAAUGUAUAUACUUCUAAAAUACAUGAAUAAAAGCAAUUUCCUUCUAUAACAAGGGUCCUUUGGUUUGAAGUAGAGAAGCAUAUGAAUUUUAUGCUAGUGCCUGUGAGGAUAGGCGAUGGGCUUGCAGGCGCAAGGCAAGGAUCCAAAUACCUUGGAGUAUUGUGCUGAUAGCUGGGUCGCCGAGAUAGAUGCCCUGCUCUGGCCACAUACUACUAUCCCUGCCAGGAUCUGGGCGACCACAGGCCACAGUAAGCUAGAUAGCAAGAGAGGUGGCAGGCUGACUGGACGAAAAUACACAUUUACAUUGCAGUUGAUAAUCACUGAAAGCCGCAAUGCUGAUAUAGUUUUUUCGGUUUUUGUGAUUUGUGUGAGUGCACUAUUUGCUAAUCUUUCUUUCUGUUUAUCAGUUCACCACAAUGUUGAUAUAGUUUUUUUUUGUUCUAAUUUACACAAAAUUUAGCUGCUUGAAUAGGUGAAGAAUUCUUGUAAAAAAAGGCAACAUACUUGCAUUCCAAAUUAAGAAAAACCAAGAAAUGAACAGUUGCUCAAGCUAAGCUCCGAAUCGGAACUCCAUGGAGUUUUCUUCAAGCAGAAGUGGCUAUUCUUAUGCGGUUUUUAGCCCUUCCUAUGAAUCCCUAAUAAAUGUUUGAAAACCAUUCAAUGGAAACAACCAGAAGGUACAAACACUGACCGUACCAAAGAAAAACUGGGAUCAGGUGCACCUCGGCAAGAAGUUUUUUAUUCUCUGUUUUAUACAUAGAAAUCAAAGACAAAAGUACUAUUCUUGGAACAAAACUAAUGAAAAACCUGGCUGCGAAAUCAAAUAUUUACAUCCCAUUAAUUAUGCUAUCUAAUCUAAGAAGGAUAAUCUAAUCUAAAUAUAUGUUUGUAAUUAAUUACAUAGUUAUAAAAAAACAUGACACCAACAGAACAGACCCAUAUGAUUCUUAAAGAAUAACCCAGAAGACACCAACGCAUGCCAGACAAAGGGAUGAACACAUAAGAAUAAUAGAUAAAUAAACACAUGACAAGCAAGAGUAAAUAGAGCAAGAUAUGGGUUAACUUGGGAACCAAGCAGCAAGAGCAGCGUCCAGCAGGCUCCAGAGAUGCUCGGAGACCCAAAGUCAUCAACAAACUGGAAGAAGAAAUCAAAUAGAAGGUUGAAAAAAAUAGUGUAUAUAUAGCAGAUGUUGAUCUAGUAGUAGUUGCUAUGUUGAUAUUCUUCUGUUUACUCUCGCUUAGCUGAAUACUGGUCCAGGGACUACUUAACAAAAAUCUUGUAAGGGGAUAUACUACUUACAUGCCACCCAUCCAUUACACAUAAGCCUAAUUGAAAAGCCAAAUAUAACCUAGAC
Molecule: long non-coding RNA, 2870 nt
Filed under: Triticum aestivum (bread wheat)
Lineage: Eukaryota; Viridiplantae; Streptophyta; Magnoliopsida; Poales; Poaceae
Description: long non-coding RNA (TAES_LNC021846)
Source: RNAcentral